RNAcentral lists this ribosomal RNA (478 nucleotides) under Salmonella enterica subsp. enterica serovar Typhi. Its description in RNAcentral is "bacterial SSU rRNA". It matches the Rfam family "Bacterial small subunit ribosomal RNA", at positions 1 to 493 of the family's 1533-position model. Lineage: Bacteria; Pseudomonadati; Pseudomonadota; Gammaproteobacteria; Enterobacterales; Enterobacteriaceae. The record is from RNAcentral.
UUUUAUGGAGAGUUUGAUCCUGGCUCAGAGUGAACGCUGGCGGCGUGCCUAAUACAUGCAAGUCGAACGAUGAAGCUUUUAGCUUGCUAGAAGUGGAUUAGUGGCGCACGGGUGAGUAAGGUAUAGUUAAUCUGCCCUACACAAGAGGACAACAGUUGGAAACGACUGCUAAUACUCUAUACUCCUGCUUAACACAAGUUGAGUAGGGAAAGUUUUUCGGUGUAGGAUGAGACUAUAUAGUAUCAGCUAGUUGGUAAGGUAAUGGCUUACCAAGGCUAUGACGCUUAACUGGUCUGAGAGGAUGAUCAGUCACACUGGAACUGAGACACGGUCCAGACUCCUACGGGAGGCAGCAGUAGGGAAUAUUGCGCAAUGGGGGAAACCCUGACGCAGCAACGCCGCGUGGAGGAUGACACUUUUCGGAGCGUAAACUCCUUUUCUUAGGGAAGAAUUCUGACGGUACCUAAGGAAUAAGCAC